Long non-coding RNA from Eleginops maclovinus (Patagonian blennie), 692 nucleotides. RefSeq lists it as uncharacterized. NCBI's taxonomy places the organism in Eukaryota, Metazoa, Chordata, Actinopteri, Perciformes, Eleginopidae. The record is from RefSeq and is a predicted model, not a curated record. The transcript is spliced from 4 exons.
UUGGAGUGAAACGAAACCUGGUGUUAACGCUAUUAUUUACAUUUAUUUGGUUAAAUGUUUUGACCCCCAACCGGGAUCGUAUCUGGAAACUUUAACUGGACAUUCUGUCACCUUUCUGAAAAAGUUGCCAGCGAGAGUUGUGGACCCCUGGAAAGGAAGAAGAUCCUGUCAAACCUGGCUCAGCUGCUCCAGCAACAAUCCACAGUCUGUCCUGUAUUGAAGGCAACCACAAGAGGCCCGAAGUCAUCCUUUCUCGACAAAAACAUGGGUGACGACAGGACAGAUUGGGAAGCCGUGAUGGCGGCACAGAAGUUGAGGGAGAAGCUAUUUAUCCCAGACGGAUCAGGAGGUGUGUGACGGAGGUGUGGACGGUUGCUGCAGGUCAGUGACGUUGGCAGGCGCCAGGCAGGCCGGCCCACAUGGCUCGGGGACUGUGGGACUACAGACAGAUGGCACCUGGUGGGUGACAAACAAUUAACAAACCAACAAGAAUAGCUGGAUCGGCAGUAUACCCACAAGCACAGGAGAUAGCAAGAGAGCGGGUGCAUCUGUGCUCUGAACACUUUCACUCUUUACUUUUCCUCUCCCCGAGUCUUGUUUUGUGUAACAGUUGCAAUUUACCAAUGUGUCUUUUCCACAAAAACACUCUUGUUGUCGUGUCGCUAUAGAACAGUCUAAAUAAAGCAGUGUUG